Molecule: long non-coding RNA, 751 nt
Organism: Solea senegalensis (Senegalese sole)
Lineage: Eukaryota; Metazoa; Chordata; Actinopteri; Pleuronectiformes; Soleidae
Exons: 3
Source: RefSeq, a predicted model, not a curated record
GUCCAAAGGGGACAUUUUGUGGAGCUGAAGCACUGGAAAAUUCAGGCAUUUAAAUAGUGGACAUCAUGGAGUGCUGGGCAAAGAUGCUAGUGGGCAAACUGUCGACAGUCAGCGCUGCUGCUGCUUAGGCGAAACCACGAGGUAAGACGGCUGCAGUGAGGCGAGAUAAUACCACCGCUGAAUCCCUCUGAGCGAGGGCCACAUCGAGCAGGAGAGGAAGAAAGUCAAAGAUGAGGGAGGGACAACGAGCACGCUGAGAAUUGGAUUUGAUCUGCAACCGCUCAAGCCACAACAUCCAAGCAGAGACCAGGACAAGGUGAAGGCAGAGAAAACUCAAGCGGUGGUACAUCAGAGAGAAGAAGAGGGGUGAAGGAAAAAUGUCAAAAUACAACAUCAAACAAGUGCACAGGUCGUCCAGUAGACGCAAAGCUGAGAAAGAUGAUUUCUGCAUCCUGUUCUGUGUCACUUCUCACCAGUAUGGAGACUUAGUCGUGUUGUGUUAUUAUUCACUGUUGCCUUGAAGUGAAGUUUCACAAAAUUAAGUCAUAUGAUUUAAGUUAGCUGCUUUAAAACAGUUGAAAGGGAUGUUAAAAUCCUAUGUGCGUGAUUUGACAUUACUUUAAAAACAUGGAACGGCAGGCGCUUUUAUUUUGAAGUGCAGUCAGCGACAUGCUGCUUUUCCCGGGCUGCGUCACUUCUUGUUGUAGCUUUACUUCCUGUUUCCCUUCAGUUACCAUUUCCUACAUCGCUC